UACGUAGGGUCCGAGCGUUGUCCGGAAUUACUGGGCGUAAAGAGCCCGUAGGUGGUUUGUCGCGUUGUUCGUGAAAACUCACAGCUCAACUGUGGGCGUGCGGGCGAUACGGGCAGACUUGAGUACUGCAGGGGAGACUGGAAUUCCUGGUGUAGCGGUGGAAUGCGCAGAUAUCAGGAGGAACACCGGUGGCGAAGGCGGGUCUCUGGGCAGUAACUGACGCUGAGGAGCGAAAGCUAGGGGAGCAAACGGG
RNAcentral lists this ribosomal RNA (253 nucleotides) under uncultured bacterium. Its description in RNAcentral is "partial 16S ribosomal RNA". It matches the Rfam family "Bacterial small subunit ribosomal RNA", at positions 524 to 776 of the family's 1533-position model. The record is from RNAcentral.